UACGAGGGGGGCGAGCGUUGUUCGGAAUUACUGGGCGUAAAGGGCGCGCAGGCGGCCUGCCAAGUCAGAUGUGAAAGCCCCGGGCUCAACCUGGGAAUGGCAUUUGGGACUGGCGGGCUAGAGAUCGGGAGAGGAGAGUGGAAUUCCCAGUGUAGAGGUGAAAUUCGUAGAUAUUGGGAAGAACACCGGUGGCGAAGGCGACUCUCUGGACCGAUACUGACGCUGAGGCGCGAAAGCGUGGGGAGCAAACAGG
Molecule: ribosomal RNA, 253 nt
Filed under: uncultured bacterium
Lineage: Bacteria
Description: partial 16S ribosomal RNA
Rfam family: Bacterial small subunit ribosomal RNA
Source: RNAcentral